CCUACGGGAGGCAGCAGUGAGGAAUAUUGGUCAAUGGGCGCGAGCCUGAACCAGCCAAGUAGCGUGAAGGAUGACGGCCCGACGGGGUGUAAACUUCUUUUAUAAAGGAAUAAAGUGAGGCACGUGUGCCUUUUUGUAUGUACCUUAUGAAUAAGGAUCGGCUAACUCCGUGCCAGCAGCCGCGGUAAUACGGAGGAUCCGAGCGUUAGCCGGAUUUGUUGGGUUUAAAGGGAGGGUAGAUGGGAUGUUAAGUAAGUUGUGAAAGUUUGCGGCUCAACCGUAAAAUUGCAAUUGAUACUGGCAGUCUUGAUUAGAGUUGAGGUAGGCGGAAUUCGUGUUGUCGCCGU
RNAcentral lists this ribosomal RNA (347 nucleotides) under uncultured bacterium. RNAcentral's name for it is "partial 16S ribosomal RNA". It matches the Rfam family "Bacterial small subunit ribosomal RNA", at positions 338 to 682 of the family's 1533-position model. The record is from RNAcentral.